RNAcentral lists this ribosomal RNA (708 nucleotides) under Leuconostoc mesenteroides. RNAcentral's name for it is "bacterial SSU rRNA". It matches the Rfam family "Bacterial small subunit ribosomal RNA", at positions 55 to 745 of the family's 1533-position model. Lineage: Bacteria; Bacillati; Bacillota; Bacilli; Lactobacillales; Lactobacillaceae. The record is from RNAcentral.
AUGCAAGUCGAACGCACAGCGAAAGGUGCUUGCACCUUUCAAGUGAGUGGCGAACGGGUGAGUAACACGUGGACAACCUGCCUCAAGGCUGGGGAUAACAUUUGGAAACAGAUGCUAAUACCGAAUAAAACUUAGUGUCGCAUGACACAAAGUUAAAAGGCGCUUCGGCGUCACCUAGAGAUGGAUCCGCGGUGCAUUAGUUAGUUGGUGGGGUAAAGGCCUACCAAGACAAUGAUGCAUAGCCGAGUUGAGAGACUGAUCGGCCACAUUGGGACUGAGACACGGCCCAAACUCCUACGGGAGGCUGCAGUAGGGAAUCUUCCACAAUGGGCGAAAGCCUGAUGGAGCAACGCCGCGUGUGUGAUGAAGGCUUUCGGGUCGUAAAGCACUGUUGUAUGGGAAGAACAGCUAGAAUAGGAAAUGAUUUUAGUUUGACGGUACCAUACCAGAAAGGGACGGCUAAAUACGUGCCAGCAGCCGCGGUAAUACGUAUGUCCCGAGCGUUAUCCGGAUUUAUUGGGCGUAAAGCGAGCGCAGACGGUUUAUUAAGUCUGAUGUGAAAGCCCGGAGCUCAACUCCGGAAUGGCAUUGGAAACUGGUUAACUUGAGUGCAGUAGAGGUAAGUGGAACUCCAUGUGUAGCGGUGGAAUGCGUAGAUAUAUGGAAGAACACCAGUGGCGAAGGCGGCUUACUGGACUGCAACUGACG